UACGGAGGGUGCAAGCGUUGUUCGGAAUUACUGGGCGUAAAGGGCGCGUAGGUGGUUGUGUAAGUCGGAUGUGAAAUCCCCAGGCUCAACUUGGGAACUGCAUCCGAUACUGCAUGACUAGAGUACAGCAGAGGGAAACGGAAUUCCUGGUGUAGAGGUGAAAUUCGUAGAUAUCAGGAGGAACACCGGUGGCGAAGGCGGUUUCCUGGGCUGAUACUGACACUGAGGCGCGAAAGCGUGGGUAGCAAACAGG
This 253-nucleotide ribosomal RNA is filed under the name uncultured bacterium. RNAcentral describes it as "partial 16S ribosomal RNA". It matches the Rfam family "Bacterial small subunit ribosomal RNA", at positions 524 to 776 of the family's 1533-position model. The record is from RNAcentral.